Pelobates cultripes (western spadefoot toad) is the source of this 228-nucleotide non-coding RNA. Lineage: Eukaryota; Metazoa; Chordata; Amphibia; Anura; Pelobatidae. The record is from the annotation of a GenBank genome assembly.
CUCUAAUAAUCCUGUCAUUCCGUAUUUCCUAGUAGCAGUUCACCAGUUACCAACACUUUAUUUUAUGAGAUUUGGCCACAUUGAGGCAUCACCACAUGGCAGUAAUGGUGCAGUUGAAUUUCUAUGCCAUAAGGGAUAUUGGAAAUAUACACUUACUGCCUUGGCCACGGAAAGGACUGAACGAAAAUCAUUAUUGUCAAUGUUUUUUGAACACUUGACAAAGUUUCC